AGCGAGAGUGGAGAAGACCGUUGC
RNAcentral lists this non-coding RNA (24 nucleotides) under Arabidopsis thaliana (thale cress). The record is from RNAcentral. Lineage: Eukaryota; Viridiplantae; Streptophyta; Magnoliopsida; Brassicales; Brassicaceae.